RNAcentral lists this long non-coding RNA (704 nucleotides) under Pseudonaja textilis. RNAcentral's name for it is "lncRNA (ENSPTXG00000001293.1)". Lineage: Eukaryota; Metazoa; Chordata; Lepidosauria; Squamata; Elapidae. The record is from RNAcentral.
AGAAGGUAGAUAGCAGUGUUUCAGCCAUGGGAUCUCACGUACGGUAGUGAGCUAUCAACCCAUCUUUAUAGGUAUGCAUUGGAAAUGGUAACAUUUUAAAUUGAAACCAUGCUUUUAAUAUGUUUUUAAUCUCUCAGGAGAUAUUCUUGGUGUUCCUGAUGUUACUCAUGGGCCAAUGAGCAUAGCUGAACUUGCUCAACCUGAUUCUCUAGGAGCAUAUGGAAACACCAAUCUGACACCUCAGUUGGAUGACUCAUUGCAGACAAAGUCCCAAGAAGCUUUCCAGGAAAUACCAGUGAAUUCCAGAAUCAUCUGUGUAAAACCAAAAUCCGAACAUACACAGCAGAAAGGGAUAGAGGUCAUACCCCAUUUAAGUCCCCUUCCUGCACCAGGUAAAGUAUCUGUGAAGGUGCCAUCUGCUGAUACAGAGGACAAAACUCUGAGCUUCAGUUCAGUUCAUGGGAGUUCAGGCUCUUCCGGAGCAGACACAUUUUGAAAUGUGCAGGCUUAUUCAUGCAUACAGGCAUUUUGGGGAAGAGGAUGUUGAUGGAUAUUUGUCUGAAAAUAAUGUAACACGUUAGCUUUUGGUGCAGAAAUGUUGCCAGCCACAUUAUUGUAAAGAAUUGAUUUGCCUUUAUAUAUAUAUAUCUGUGCAUAUGUGUUGAUAAGAUAUGUACAUUUUUAAUAAAAUAUUUUGUGUUUUU